Molecule: long non-coding RNA, 242 nt
Filed under: Elaeis guineensis (African oil palm)
Lineage: Eukaryota; Viridiplantae; Streptophyta; Magnoliopsida; Arecales; Arecaceae
Description: long non-coding RNA (EGUI_LNC025208)
Source: RNAcentral
CGGGCGGAGCCUACCAGCAGUUGGAGUUGUGGACGGAGCCCGGCUCCCGUAAGAGUCCGGGCGGAGUCUUCCUGCAAUUAAAGUCAAGUGCGAAGUCCGGCUCCCGUAGGAGUCCGGACGGAGCUUACCAGCAGUUGAAGUUGGUGACGGAGCCCGGCUCCCGUAGGAGUCCGGACGGAGCUUACCAGCAGUUGGAGUUGUGGACGGAGCCCGGCUUCCGUAGAAGUCCGGACGGAGUCUUC